Stomoxys calcitrans (stable fly) is the source of this 529-nucleotide long non-coding RNA. RefSeq lists it as uncharacterized. NCBI's taxonomy places the organism in Eukaryota, Metazoa, Arthropoda, Insecta, Diptera, Muscidae. The transcript is spliced from 3 exons. The record is from RefSeq and is a predicted model, not a curated record.
GGGGAAACCCACCCUCCCUCCGCCGAUUACCAUUCGAAAGCAUUAAUUCUGUGGCUACCAGAAUACCAACAUCAAUUUCAAUCAGAGAAUACCAAAGUGCACAACAACAAUGCCCUGCCAGUCGUCUUAAGGGUUUUGUAAAAUCAAACUAAUAUGUGGGAACUAUGAAUGUAUGUAAUCUGGUAGCUGUUUGUUAUGCCCCAUAAAUGGAAUUCACUUGGAAAGCUGGUGGGGCUACCUAGAAAACAAGAUGGCAAAGAGAUGGAUUUUAUUGGAUUAUUUUAUAAGCAGAGUUGUUGGUGUAAUAAUUUAAAGCCAUACAUAGUAUACAAAUGUUUUACCAUUUAUUAUACUUUGAGAUAACAUAUGCGGGAACGAAAAAUCAAAACGCUCAAUCACCAUGAAAUCGUGAUUUUCAUAGCUUGCCAAUGCUUUAAGCAAGUGUACAGUUUGUCUAACAUUGAGAUAGUUGAAGAGAAUAAAAAAUGUGGACAGGAUUGCAUGUCCCGAUUACUUUUCCUAUAGUAAA